This 70-nucleotide transfer RNA is filed under the name Ipomoea nil (Japanese morning glory). It matches the Rfam family "tRNA". Rfam says of the family: Transfer RNA (tRNA) molecules are approximately 80 nucleotides in length. The record is from Rfam by way of RNAcentral. Lineage: Eukaryota; Viridiplantae; Streptophyta; Magnoliopsida; Solanales; Convolvulaceae.
GCCUUCUUAGCUCAGUGGUAGAGCGCGUGGCUUUUAACCACGUGGUUGUGGUUUGAUCCCACAGACGGUG